Molecule: ribosomal RNA, 253 nt
Filed under: uncultured bacterium
Lineage: Bacteria
Description: partial 16S ribosomal RNA
Rfam family: Bacterial small subunit ribosomal RNA
Source: RNAcentral
UACGGAGGGGGCUAGCGUUGUUCGGAAUUACUGGGCGUAAAGCGCACGUAGGCGGAUCGUUAAGUCGGGGGUGAAAUCCUGGAGCUCAACUCCAGAACUGCCUUCGAUACUGGCGAUCUUGAGUCCGGAAGAGGUGAGUGGAACUCCUAGUGUAGAGGUGGAAUUCGUAGAUAUUAGGAAGAACACCAGUGGCGAAGGCGGCUCACUGGUCCGGUACUGACGCUGAGGUGCGAAAGCGUGGGGAGCAAACAGG